This 254-nucleotide ribosomal RNA is filed under the name uncultured bacterium. RNAcentral's name for it is "partial 16S ribosomal RNA". It matches the Rfam family "Bacterial small subunit ribosomal RNA", at positions 9 to 253 of the family's 1533-position model. The record is from RNAcentral.
GAGUUUGAUCUUGGCUCAGGAUGAACGCUAGCGACAGGCUUAACACAUGCAAGUCGAGGGGCAGCAUGAACUUAGCUUGCUAAGUUUGAUGGCGACCGGCGCACGGGUGAGUAACGCGUAUGCAACUUACCUAUCAGAGGAGAAUAGCUCAUCGAAAGAUGAAUUAAUGCUCCAUAAAACAGGGGUCCCGCAUGGGAAUAUUUGUUAAAGAUUCAUCGCUGAUAGAUAGGCAUGCGUUCCAUUAGGCAGUUGGC